GCGAGAGUGGUGGAAUUGGCAGACACGCCAGACUUAGGAUCUGGUGCCGCAAGGCUUGGGGGUUCAAGUCCCCCCUCUCGCA
This 82-nucleotide transfer RNA is filed under the name Spirochaetia bacterium. Its description in RNAcentral is "tRNA-Leu". It matches the Rfam family "tRNA". Rfam says of the family: Transfer RNA (tRNA) molecules are approximately 80 nucleotides in length. Their secondary structure includes four short double-helical elements and three loops (D, anti-codon, and T loops). Lineage: Bacteria; Pseudomonadati; Spirochaetota; Spirochaetia. The record is from RNAcentral.